UACGUAGGGAGCAAGCGUUGUCCGGAAUCAUUGGGCGUAAAGCGCGCGUAGGUGGCUUCGUAAGUCCGUUGUGAAAGUCAAAGGCUCAACCUUUGAAAGCCGAUGGAUACUGUGGAGCUAGAGUACGGAAGAGGCGAGUGGAAUUCCUGGUGUAGCGGUGGAAUGCGCAGAUAUCAGGAGGAACACCAAUAGCGAAGGCAGCUCGCUGGGACGUUACUGACACUGAGGCGCGAAAGCGUGGGAGCGAAUGGG
RNAcentral lists this ribosomal RNA (252 nucleotides) under uncultured bacterium. RNAcentral describes it as "partial 16S ribosomal RNA". It matches the Rfam family "Bacterial small subunit ribosomal RNA", at positions 524 to 776 of the family's 1533-position model. The record is from RNAcentral.